AUUGAACGCUGGCGGCAUGCCUUACACAUGCAAGUCGAACGGCAGCACGGGAGCAAUCCUGGUGGCGAGUGGCGAACGGGUGAGUAAUAUAUCGGAACGUGCCCAGUGAUGGGGGAUAGCCCGGCGAAAGCCGGAUUAAUACCGCAUACGACCUACGGGUGAAAGCAGGGGAUCGCAAGACCUUGCGUCAUUGGAGCGGCCGAUAUCAGAUUAGCUUGNGGUGGGUAAAGCCUACCAAGGCGACGAUCUGUAGCUGGUCUGAGAGGACGACCAGCCACACUGGGACUGAGACACGGCCCAGACUCCUACGGGAGGCAGCAGUGGGGAAUUUUGGACAAUGGGCGCAAGCCUGAUCCAGCCAUGCCGCGUGCGGGAAGAAGGCCUCGG
RNAcentral lists this ribosomal RNA (387 nucleotides) under uncultured bacterium. RNAcentral's name for it is "bacterial SSU rRNA". It matches the Rfam family "Bacterial small subunit ribosomal RNA", at positions 29 to 420 of the family's 1533-position model. The record is from RNAcentral.